CGGACGGGUGAGUAACGCGUGGGUAACCUGCCCUGUACAGGGGGAUAACAGUUAGAAAUGACUGCUAAUACCGCAUAAGACCACAGCACCGCAUGGUGCAGGGGUAAAAACUCCGGUGGUACAGGAUGGACCCGCGUCUGAUUAGCUGGUUGGUGAGGUAACGGCUCACCAAGGCGACGAUCAGUAGCCGGCUUGAGAGAGUGAACGGCCACAUUGGGACUGAGACACGGCCCAA
This 235-nucleotide ribosomal RNA is filed under the name uncultured bacterium. RNAcentral describes it as "partial 16S ribosomal RNA". It matches the Rfam family "Bacterial small subunit ribosomal RNA", at positions 99 to 334 of the family's 1533-position model. The record is from RNAcentral.